Molecule: ribosomal RNA, 425 nt
Filed under: uncultured bacterium
Lineage: Bacteria
Description: partial 16S ribosomal RNA
Rfam family: Bacterial small subunit ribosomal RNA
Source: RNAcentral
GUGGGGAAUAUUGGACAAUGGGAGCAAGCCUGAUCCAGCCAUGCCGCGUGAGUGAUGAAGGCCCUAGGGUUGUAAAGCUCUUUCACCGGUGAAGAUAAUGACGGUAACCGGAGAAGAAGCCCCGGCUAACUUCGUGCCAGCAGCCGCGGAACUACGAACGGGGCUAGCGUUGUUCGGAAUUACUGGGCGCAAAGCGCACGUAGGCGGACAUGUAAGUCAGGGGUGAAAUCCCGGAGCUCAACCAUGGAACUGCCGUUGAUACUGGGUGUCUAGAGUAUGGAAGAGGUAAGUGGAACUCCGAGUGUAGAGGUGAAAUUCGUAGAUAUUCGGAGGAACACCAGUUGCGAAGGCGGCUUACUGAUCCAUUACUGACGCUGAGGUGCGAAAGCGUGGGGAGCAAACAGGAUUAGAAACCCUGGUAGUCC